Molecule: ribosomal RNA, 237 nt
Filed under: uncultured bacterium
Lineage: Bacteria
Description: partial 16S ribosomal RNA
Rfam family: Bacterial small subunit ribosomal RNA
Source: RNAcentral
CCGGCACGGGUGAGUAACACGUAUCCAACCUGCCGUCUACUCUUGGACAGCCUUCUGAAAGGAAGAUUAAUACAAGAUGGCAUCAUGAGUCCACAUGUUCACAUGAUUAAAGGUAUUCCGGUAGACGAUGGGGAUGCGUUCCAUUAGAUAGUAGGCGGGGUAACGGCCCACCUAGUCUUCGAUGGAUAGGGGUUCUGAGAGGAAGGUCCCCCACAUUGGAACUGAGACACGGUCCAA